RNAcentral lists this ribosomal RNA (656 nucleotides) under uncultured fungus. RNAcentral's name for it is "eukaryotic LSU rRNA". It matches the Rfam family "Eukaryotic large subunit ribosomal RNA", at positions 192 to 879 of the family's 3401-position model. Lineage: Eukaryota; Fungi. The record is from RNAcentral.
GGAAAAAAGUACCACAGAGGGUGAAAGUCCCGUCUGGACUCAGUAACAAAAACGUUCGGUGCAUUUUCUUAGAGUCGCGUUCUUUGAGAUUGGAGCGCUAAUUGGGUGAUAAAUUUCAUCUAAAGCUAAAUACUAACGAGACUCCGAUAGCAUACAAGUACCGUGAGGGAAAGAUGAAAAGAACUUUGAAAAGAGAGUUAAAAGUGACUGAAAUCGCUAUAAGUGAAGCGGAGUGUUUGGGUGUCUAACAGUUCUUCCUGGCUGGUUUGCUGGCCAUGUUUUGUGCUUGUGGUGACUUUGGGAUAGAUCAUAGUUGGUGAAUAAAGGCAUAGGAAACUUUAGCUUGCUAUUGUUUCCUUAUUCUGGAUUUCAUUGACUUAGAUCUAGGUCUCUAAUAUUAGUCUGGCUAAUAUUAUAACAUCCCAAAGAGAUCCUUUCUCUCCGUCCCGUCUUGAAACACGGACCAAGGAGUCUAAUUUGCGUGCGAGUACAAGGGUGGAAAACCCACGUGCGAAACGAAAAUGAUUGUUAGGAAGGGUAACCUGCACUAACACCCAUCUAUCCAGAUGAGGUUGAGCACACAGAUUAGGACCCGAAAGAUGGUGAACUAUGCCUGAGUAGGGUGAAGCCAGGGGAAACUCUGGUGGAAGCUCGUA